UAACACCUGGAAACAGAUGCUAAUACCGGAUAACAACAGAUGAUGCCUAUCAACUGUUUAAAAGAUGGUUCUGCUAUCACUCUGGAUGGACCUGCGGUGCAUUAGCUAGUUGGUAGGGUAACGGCCUACCAAGGCGAUGAUGCAUAGCCGAGUUGAGAGACUGAUCGGCCACAAUGGAACUGAGACACGGUCCAUACUCCUACGGGAGGCAGCAGGC
RNAcentral lists this ribosomal RNA (217 nucleotides) under uncultured Lactobacillus sp. RNAcentral's name for it is "partial 16S ribosomal RNA". It matches the Rfam family "Bacterial small subunit ribosomal RNA", at positions 144 to 354 of the family's 1533-position model. The record is from RNAcentral. Lineage: Bacteria; Bacillati; Bacillota; Bacilli; Lactobacillales; Lactobacillaceae.